Molecule: ribosomal RNA, 639 nt
Filed under: uncultured bacterium
Lineage: Bacteria
Description: bacterial SSU rRNA
Rfam family: Bacterial small subunit ribosomal RNA
Source: RNAcentral
GCACGGGUGAGUAACACGUAUCCAACCUGCCGAUAACUCGGGGAUAGCCUUUCGAAAGAAAGAUUAAUAUCCGAUAGUAUAUUAAAACCGCAUGGUUUUACUAUUAAAGAAUUUCGGUUAUCGAUGGGGAUGCGUUCCAUUAGUUUGUUGGCGGGGUAACGGCCCACCAAGACUACGAUGGAUAGGGGUUCUGAGAGGAAGGUCCCCCACAUUGGAACUGAGACACGGUCCAAACUCCUACGGGAGGCAGCAGUGAGGAAUAUUGGUCAAUGGACGAGAGUCUGAACCAGCCAAGUAGCGUGAAGGAUGACUGCCCUAUGGGUUGUAAACUUCUUUUAUAUGGGAAUAAAGUAUUCCACGUGUGGAAUUUUGUAUGUACCAUAUGAAUAAGGAUCGGCUAACUCCGUGCCAGCAGCCGCGGUAAUACGGAGGAUCCGAGCGUUAUCCGGAUUUAUUGGGUUUAAAGGGAGCGUAGGUGGAUUGUUAAGUCAGUUGUGAAAGUUUGCGGCUCAACCGUAAAAUUGCAGUUGAAACUGGCAGUCUUGAGUACAGUAGAGGUGGGCGGAAUUCGUGGUGUAGCGGUGAAAUGCUUAGAUAUCACGAAGAACUCCGAUUGCGAAGGCAGCUCACUAGACUGCA